UAGGGAAUCUUCGGCAAUGGGGGGAACCCUGACCGAGCAACGCCGCGUGAGUGAAGAAGGUUUUCGGAUCGUAAAGCUCUGUUGUUAAGGAAGAACGAGUGUGAGAAUGGAAAGUUCAUACUGUGACGGUACUUAACCAGAAAGGGACGGCUAACUACGUGCCAGCAGCCGCGGUAAUACGUAGGUCCCGAGCGCUGUCCGGAUUUAUUGGGCGUAAAGCGAGCGCAGGCGGUUAGAUAAGUCUGAAGUUAAAGGCAGUGGCUCAACCAUUGUCGGCUUUUGAAACUGUGUAACUUGAGUGCAGAAGGGGAGGGUGGAAUUCCAUGUGUAGCGGUGAACUGCGUAGAUAUAUGGAGGAACACCGGUGGCGAAGGCGGCUAUCUGGUCUGUAACUGACGCUGAGGCUCGAAAGCGUGGGGAGCGAACAGG
This 429-nucleotide ribosomal RNA is filed under the name Bacteroidota bacterium. Its description in RNAcentral is "Bacteroidetes bacterium partial 16S ribosomal RNA". It matches the Rfam family "Bacterial small subunit ribosomal RNA", at positions 355 to 776 of the family's 1533-position model. The record is from RNAcentral. Lineage: Bacteria; Pseudomonadati; Bacteroidota.